UACGUAUGGUGCAAGCGUUAUCCGGAAUGACUGGGUGUAAAGGGAGCGUAGACGGUUGUACAAGUCUGAUGUGAAAGCCCUCGGCUCAACUGUGGGAGUGCAUUGGAAACUGUAGAACUAGAGUAUCGGAGAGGCAAGUGGAAUUCCUAGUGUAGCGGUGAAAUGCGUAGAUAUUAGGAGGAACACCAGUGGCGAAGGCGGCUUGCUGGACGAAAACUGACGUUGAGGCUCGAAAGCGUGGGGAGCAAACAGG
Molecule: ribosomal RNA, 253 nt
Filed under: uncultured bacterium
Lineage: Bacteria
Description: partial 16S ribosomal RNA
Rfam family: Bacterial small subunit ribosomal RNA
Source: RNAcentral